UACAGAGGUCUCAAGCGUUGUUCGGAUUCAUUGGGCGUAAAGGGUGCGUAGGCGGCGCGGUAAGUCGGGUGUGAAAUCUCGGAGCUUAACUCCGAAACUGCAUUCGAUACUGCCGUGCUUGAGGACUGGAGAGGAGACUGGAAUUUACGGUGUAGCGGUGAAAUGCGUAGAUAUCGUAAGGAAGACCAGUGGCGAAGGCGGCAUCCUGGACCGGCAUUGACGCUGAGGCGCGAAAGCUAGGGGAGCAAACGGG
This 253-nucleotide ribosomal RNA is filed under the name uncultured bacterium. RNAcentral's name for it is "partial 16S ribosomal RNA". It matches the Rfam family "Bacterial small subunit ribosomal RNA", at positions 524 to 776 of the family's 1533-position model. The record is from RNAcentral.